Molecule: non-coding RNA, 94 nt
Organism: Cladorrhinum sp. PSN332
Lineage: Eukaryota; Fungi; Ascomycota; Sordariomycetes; Sordariales; Podosporaceae
Source: the annotation of a GenBank genome assembly
GCCUGCUUAGCAUAGUGGCUAAUGCGUUGCACUUGUAUCCAGUGAUGGAUUUUGAGAGAUGCAAAGAUCACAGGUUCGAUUCCUGUAGUAGGCA